GUGCUCGCUUCAGCAGCACAUAUACUAAAAUUGGAAUGAUACAGAGAAGAUUAGCAUGGCCCCUGCACAAGGAUGAGGAAAGAUUUAUCCUUAUACACAUAAUACUGUG
This is a small nuclear RNA of Rattus norvegicus (Norway rat), 109 nucleotides long. Lineage: Eukaryota; Metazoa; Chordata; Mammalia; Rodentia; Muridae. The record is from Ensembl.